GGGGCGGGGGGGGAGUGCCUGACAAUAGUUUACUCCGGAAACUCCUGUUUGAAUGCUAGGCUACCUAUAUCUGUAGACCCCAGAGGGCAGCCAUUAAAUAAUUAGGCACUUAGGGAUGGAGAAUUGUCUCAAAGACCAAACAACAAGUUACUUAAGACUCUUCUGGCAGACCAGAGGACCUUGAGGAUUGAGGAGACCUCUCGUCCUAUCUUGAAUUGUUCCAAAGGACGGAAGGAGGACUGGAUCCGGGCUCUGGCUUGCCUCAUUGCCCCCAAACACAUUCCCAGAAACGCUCCCCAGGGCCGAACCAAGAACUCAAGUGUCUAACCCACAGCGUCAGCUCUCAGGUUCAAGUUCAAGUCCUCCGGCGUACAUCGGGGCUUCCUUGUCUGCUGUUAAAUUUUAUGUGGAAAUGAAGCCGAAAAUAAUGUCCUGAGAUGUGGAUGAAGAGUGCUGUAACGAAACAUUGUACCAAAACGAAGACUGUGCUGUACGCGCCCCUCAGACAACUACUCUCCUGCAGGCGAGGAUUGUCACCCGGGGGGAGUGUGGCAGGAGUGCCGUCACAGUGGCAGAAGGAGAAGGAGAGAGAAAACGAAACCUGGGAAAUUGCCCGCGCUCACUUUUUCUCCUCCCCGGACCUGAGUUCAAGAGCCUGUCUCGGAGUCGGGCAGUCUCCGGUUGGGAAGGCCCUCGAUCAUGACUUUUUCGUCCCGACCUGUGCAGAUCCCCCACCUCUACCCAUCUCCAGCUGACACGUUUGCUCUGAGAAGGGAUUGGUGAAUAUCGCCCUCUCCCGGAUCUCCGGAAAUUCUCCCCAGCGCGCUGCAUCCGCUUCUUCCCAAGCUCGGAGCGCCGCACACGCAGCGGGGCGGGACCUUCAGCUCAGGGCGACGGUGUCCUCGGUCCCCUCCCCGAGGGCCGAGGCCUCCAGAGCCCCAGAUCCGGGACCCAGGCCCUGAGCCGGAUCUGAGGAGCGCACUGGGCCCGAGCCCCUGCUGGAGCCCGGAGCUCGGCCGGGGAGAGAGCUCAGCCACACGCGCCCCCGGCUAUGGCCCGGACCCCGCUCGGCUCUGCCGCUGAGUCCGCGCGCGGGGGAAAGCCCGCAGACCUUCCAGGACUUGCGGAUUGCCAGCCCCGAAUCCCUAAAGAGCUCGGCCCCGAGAGUCUCCUUGUGGUGUUUGGUGGCCGCCGCGAGCGGGCUUGGCGUCCCCCACGGCAGAGGGGAGGUCGAGGGGGAACUGGUUCCCGGUUCACCCUUCAUCUCCUACCAGUCACCAGCCGAGGCCCUGCCCCGUGCUCGCAUGGAGGCACCGAGAUAGCCCUGGCCCAGCAAAUGGCUCCUGGGUCGUCCUGGCGGGAGCGGGCCCAGGGCGAGGCGCGCAGGUGAGGUGCCAGGCUCGGGGCGCCCAGCCAGCGGCGCUUGGGGGCACCGGCUCGCUCCACCUGGCGUCCGCGCGGCCGGAGUGCCGCUGCGGCAGGCGGGCAGCGGCGGCGCAGCGACGGGCUGUGGCGCCACCUCCCGAGAAGACCUAGCAGGAAGCGCGGCUCCGCAGGUGGCCCGCGGCGCGCGCCUUCCGGGUGGCCGGAGUGCCCCUCGGCCAGCGAUUUGCCCUCUCAACGCCCCGAAACACCUCCAGAAAUGCCUGUGGCAGCAAUUACUACGCCGAUGGUCGCUGUCCUCCCCAAGUGAUGAAAGGGAGGUCCUAGCACCCCAGGAAGAUCUUGUGCCCCUGCCUGGGGAAGGCGAAAAGGCUGCAGCGGCCCUGGGACGCGAUGGCCUUGUGUCGGCUAUCAAGGGAUCUCGGACCCCCCUCACGUACGUGAAAACCGGUCCCCAAGAGUCCAGCAAGGAGAAGUAGGAGGAGGUGACUGGAGGGGAGAGGUGUUUGUGGCCCCCAAGGUAGGCUCCAGGUUGCAGUGGAGUCAAGCCGUCGGCAAGGGAUCCAGCUCUGCUCCUCAGACUCGAGCAGAGCAGCCUGUCUGCGGCCACCUCCACUCCCUCUCCGAGGACGCACCCGGCCACUCUCUGCACCACCGCGGGCGAUAGACAGAUUGUCCCCUCCGUUCCUGCCAACCAGGUCUCUAGACUUGACUACUUAUGUUGAGAAUGGAUAAAAAGAUGGAGAUAUUGGAGAUCGGGGUUACCGUCCAUACUGUGGAUGAACGUCCUGUCAGAGUCUUUCCUGGAUCUAGCUGCAAGAGCCUGGCUCAGGAUACACCUGAACUGUGCCCCUCACCACCCAGACCACAUCUCCCCGGACUUACUAUGUGUUGCUGCUUCCAGCUAUGUGACUUUACUCACACUAAUUCCCAGAAGACCAAGCAUUCGUACGGAUAACAUGAAAGCUUAAAAUAAAGCAGCACAGAGACAGCUGUGGUCCAGCUGCCCGCCCUGUCGGUGGCAAUCGCCUCCCUGGUCAGGUUCAUCUCUGAACACCUGGUUGGGACAUGAGUGCAUCCUCCUAGGACCCAGAAGUCACUGAGCAGAAGUGCAGCAACGUGGCAAAACCAACAGAGCUGAAGCGGCACAGAACAUUCCUGGACAGGUCUGCGAGGGUGGGGCAGCCAGGAAGUGACAGCAUGAAGCCAAGCACACUGGGCUCCUCUCCAGAGAUAUAUGGCAAAGGCAAAUGCAUUUGUUUCCAAUUCAUCUGGCUCUGUUCUUACACGAUGUUUCACAUGUGCUGAAGAG
Equus caballus (horse) is the source of this 2695-nucleotide long non-coding RNA. NCBI's taxonomy places the organism in Eukaryota, Metazoa, Chordata, Mammalia, Perissodactyla, Equidae. The record is from Ensembl.